ACGAACGCUGGCGGCAGGCCUCACACAUGCAAGUCGAGCGCCCCGCAAGGGGAGCGGCGGACGGGUGAGUAACGCGUGGGAAUAUGCCCUUUGCUACGGAAUAGUCUCGGGAAACUGGGGGUAAUACCGUAUACGCCCUUUGGGGGAAAGAUUUAUCGGCGAAGGAUUAGCCCGCGUUGGAUUAGGUAGUUGGUGGGGUAAUGGCCUACCAAGCCGACGAUCCAUAGCUGGUUUGAGAGGAUGAUCAGCCACACUGGGACUGAGACACGGCCCAGACUCCUACGGGAGGCAGCAGUGGGGAAUCUUAGACAAUGGGGGCAACCCUGAUCUAGCCAUGCCGCGUGAGUGAUGAAGGCCUUAGGGUUGUAAAGCUCUUUCAGCUGGGAAGAUAAUGACGGUACCAGCAGAAGAAGCCCCGGCUAACUCCGUG
RNAcentral lists this ribosomal RNA (430 nucleotides) under uncultured bacterium. Its description in RNAcentral is "partial 16S ribosomal RNA". It matches the Rfam family "Bacterial small subunit ribosomal RNA", at positions 29 to 507 of the family's 1533-position model. The record is from RNAcentral.